This 74-nucleotide transfer RNA is filed under the name Lactobacillales bacterium. RNAcentral describes it as "tRNA-Arg". It matches the Rfam family "tRNA". Rfam says of the family: Transfer RNA (tRNA) molecules are approximately 80 nucleotides in length. Their secondary structure includes four short double-helical elements and three loops (D, anti-codon, and T loops). Further hydrogen bonds mediate the characteristic L-shaped molecular structure. tRNAs have two regions of fundamental functional importance: the anti-codon, which is responsible for specific mRNA codon recognition, and the 3' end, to which the tRNAs corresponding amino acid is attached (by aminoacyl-tRNA synthetases). tRNAs cope with the degeneracy of the genetic code in two manners: having more than one tRNA (with a specific anti-codon) for a particular amino acid; and 'wobble' base-pairing, i.e. permitting non-standard base-pairing at the 3rd anti-codon position. Lineage: Bacteria; Bacillati; Bacillota; Bacilli; Lactobacillales. The record is from RNAcentral.
GUUCGUGUAGCUCAGCAGGAUAGAGCAACCGCCUCCUAAGCGGUAGGUCGUCGGUUCAAUUCCGGCCACGAACA